AAUUUUGGACAAUGGGGGAAACCCUGAUCCAGCCAUCCCGCGUGUAUGAAGAAGGCCNNNGGGUCNUAAAGCUCUGUCCUAAGNGAANAAACGGACGGUACCUUAGGAGGAAGCCCCGGCUAACUACGUGCCAGCAGCCGCGGUAAUACGUAGGGUGCAAGCGUUAAUCGGAAUUACUGGGCGUAAAGCGUGUGUAGGCGGUUCGGAAAGAAAGAUGUGAAAUCCCAGGGCUCAACCUUGGAACUGCAUUUUUAACUGCCGAGCUAGAGUAUGUCAGAGGGGGGUAGAAUUCCACGUGUAGCAGUGAAAUGCGUAGAUAUGUGGAGGAAUACCGAUGGCGAAGGCAGCCCCCUGGGAUAAUACUGACGCUCAGACACGAAAGCGUGGGGAGCAAACAGG
RNAcentral lists this ribosomal RNA (399 nucleotides) under uncultured bacterium. Its description in RNAcentral is "partial 16S ribosomal RNA". It matches the Rfam family "Bacterial small subunit ribosomal RNA", at positions 360 to 776 of the family's 1533-position model. The record is from RNAcentral.